Molecule: non-coding RNA, 30 nt
Organism: Thermoanaerobacter pseudethanolicus ATCC 33223
Lineage: Bacteria; Bacillati; Bacillota; Clostridia; Thermoanaerobacterales; Thermoanaerobacteraceae
Source: Rfam
GUUUCAAUUCCUUAUAGGUAGGCUAAAAAC